RNAcentral lists this ribosomal RNA (497 nucleotides) under uncultured bacterium. Its description in RNAcentral is "partial 16S ribosomal RNA". It matches the Rfam family "Bacterial small subunit ribosomal RNA", at positions 28 to 507 of the family's 1533-position model. The record is from RNAcentral.
GAUGAACGCUGGCGGCGUGCCUAAUACAUGCAAGUCGAGCGAACAGACGAGGAGCUUGCUCCUCUGAUGUUAGCGGCGGACGGGUGAGUAACACGUGGAUAACCUACCUAUAAGACUGGGAUAACUUCGGGAAACCGGAGCUAAUACCGGAUAAUAUGUUGAACCGCAUGGUUCAACAGUGAAAGACGGUCUUGCUGUCACUUAUAGAUGGAUCCGCGCUGCAUUAGCUAGUUGGUAAGGUAACGGCUUACCAAGGCAACGAUGCGUAGCCGACCUGAGAGGGUGAGGGGCCACACUGGAACUGAGACACGGUCCAGACCCCUACGGGAGGCAGCAGUGGGGAAUCUUCCACAAUGGGCGAAAGCCUGACGGAGCAACGCCGCGUGAGUGAGGAAGGUCUUCGGAUCGUAAACCUCUGUUAUUGGGGAAGAACAGAUGUGUAAGUAACUAUGCACUUCUUGACGGUACCUAAUCAGAAAGCCACGGCUAACUACGUG